GGAAGAUAGCAACAAUAAUUAAAUUGUAUCAAUUUAUUUCUAGACAUUUAUGGAUUCUACUUGGAUUCCGAUUUUACAUGGAAGUAACAGAGAAUUCCAAGAAAUGGAAGCUGCUGCUAG
Non-coding RNA from Tinamus guttatus (white-throated tinamou), 120 nucleotides. The record is from RefSeq and is a predicted model, not a curated record. NCBI's taxonomy places the organism in Eukaryota, Metazoa, Chordata, Aves, Tinamiformes, Tinamidae.